AUGGCUUUUAAAAAUAACAGAAAAAAUCUCAUAGAACCAAAGGUGGUGAUUCACCAAAUUCUAAUUACACUAACCAGCCACAGGGUAAAAAUCCGUGGAGACUGUGUGUGCUGACUCAACCAGAGGCACAAAGGAAAACAAUCUCAAAGUGAAAGAACCGGUUCAAAUGUCCACCAAGACUUCGAGAAUCCCAAGAAAAACACCUUGUGGUGGCAGUUCUAAGACGUAACACCAUUUCUAGAUGAAAAUCCACAAGCAGCUUACUGACUUGCACAGCCUUUCCAAGACUGUUAAGCAGAUUACUUCCACCAGUAUUGAGCUAGGAGUUGACACUGUAGUCACUAUUGCAGAU
This 352-nucleotide long non-coding RNA is filed under the name Homo sapiens (human). Its description in RNAcentral is "non-protein coding lnc-SPATA31D4-10:1". Lineage: Eukaryota; Metazoa; Chordata; Mammalia; Primates; Hominidae. The record is from RNAcentral.